AAAUUAAAGUAUUAUUAAAACAAAAAAUAACAAAAUAAUGUCUAAUUUUACUGAACAAGAUUAGAUGGUAGGACGAGUUUGGUCGAUAGUAAUACAAGACGGUAUACCACAGAUAAAAUCCAUUAGAUAUGUCUAAUUUCCCUGAAUAGGAUUAGAUGGUAUGACGGGUUUGGAUCUAUAGUAAUACCAGACGAUAUACUACGGGUGAAAUCCUAGAUAUAACAGUUAAAAUACAAUUACAUUAUCUUAAAUACUA
Molecule: small RNA, 256 nt
Filed under: Arabidopsis thaliana (thale cress)
Lineage: Eukaryota; Viridiplantae; Streptophyta; Magnoliopsida; Brassicales; Brassicaceae
Description: ATSL085530
Source: RNAcentral